GAAAAAUACCCUACAUGAAUUGGCACGGAACGGCCGCGAGAGGGCGUCACAGCGAUCUCAUUAUAUGACGUCAUCAUACUGACCAUAAAAGGCAGUUUUCAUGAAUGAAACUGUUGCGCAUGCGCACAUGCUUCACGUCUGUACCUCGAGUAGUUUCCACUUCGACAGAGUUCACGACGAUCUUUCGAAUGGUACCAAAAUCGUAUGAAUUCGUGGUUUUCUUCGACUUUAUAUUCCAUUUCUUUGGUGUCAACCUGAGGCGCAACAACUCGCGGAUUCCUUGGUGGUAUUUGAAUUUUGGUUGGCGGGAAGUGUCGUGCCCUUGUCGCGAUGUCGUCUUUCGGUCCAGAGUUUCUACAUACGUCACCUGAAAUUGCAGCGCCAUGAAGAGGUGGAAGCGUGCCUCCUGUGACAGCGACAACAUUUAAUACAUUGCCGUUAUUAAUGAAUAGUUUUCCCCACCCAAUUUUAACAAUAAAAUAUUUUAAUAUCGUGCGACAUGAAGUUUUUAUUUCAAACUGUCUUUAUCGCUCCCCAUUUUGACGGUAGCAUAACAAUUCAAAGAGAAGAGCUUACAUGACUACACAAACUUAUACAAGUAAUUCAAAACUUACCGUUAUACGAGAGAAAACUAAGCUUCUUGGAGGCUGUGCAAUGGGUUAAGCCGUAUCUUAAUUAGGUUUGAACCUGCCAUUGUUUCCCUUAAUCCUGCUGAGCUGAGUGGGGUGUGAAGGGGGCUGUUUAUUGAGGAGGGAAGUCACAUUGCUGUUUACGUGUUGUACAUGUAGGUUAAAUUUCAGUCUUAAUUAUUCAGGUACCGGUCGAAACCACAAGAACAAUGCUAUACACAUAGAAAACGGGUUGAAUGUUUAUUGAAAAAAGCUAAAAUUUACAAUUACAAUAAUGCACUUGGUAAAAAUAAAGCCCUGGGAAUGGACAGCAAGGAAAGCACUAUUGUGAAAAGAGUUUAUAAACAAUCUUUAGAUUUAAAUGUAUAACUCGAGUGAUUGGGUCAAGAGAUCUUCCACUAUUUUUCCAAGUGAAUUGUAUACUAACCAAAAACAACCAAGUUGUAAUACACAAAAUAUCAGGUAUUACGAACAUGCGUAUAAUAAAAUGAACAUAGGCCAAACUUUUCUAUUAAAAACGAGUCUCUGAUGUCUCUGAAUUUGUAUCCCGAGUCAUUUCUUUGUAUAUUUUAGACAACUAAGAGUUAGAAAAUAUAGUUUACAAAAUGCUCCUAUUUUAACCAGAAUUUCCUGGGAUGAAAGGAGGACUUCCCUUACUUAAAAUACUUCAAUUUGCGACUAUCAACACGCCUUGGAAAUGGCAAUUGUUUGAGUAAAAUCCGUAAUCUAUUUCGUGAUAAA
RNAcentral lists this long non-coding RNA (1370 nucleotides) under Patiria miniata (bat star). RNAcentral describes it as "uncharacterized LOC119735818". The record is from RNAcentral. Lineage: Eukaryota; Metazoa; Echinodermata; Asteroidea; Valvatida; Asterinidae.